CCUGGCCAGGCUGGGGCUGUUCUCACCAGAAAACAAAAAUGUCUUUCAGACCAAAGCAAAACGAGGCCCCAGCUGGCCCAGGCAGGCCAUUGGGCGUUGUUCACACUGACCCACUAUGAACACCAAUCACUGGGGCUCUCACUUUGCACCCACUGGAAGGAACCCAUCAUCUUUGGAGACGGAACUGGAGGCCUCGGUGGCUGCUGAGGAAAGCACUACGCCCCAAGAUUCACAUGAAUUAGGAGCUACACAAAGGAAGUAGGCCCAGGAAUAACCACACCUACCACGGAUCUCCCGAGGCAGCCGAGCAAAUGAUGAGGAACCACCCCUGGGCAUCCUGAAGGACAACCCCAAGGGCUCAAAGCAGCAUCUCAUCCACAGCACUCCCCUAACCCCACCAAUCUGUGGACCCAGUGGAUGGUUAGUGGGAACUCUGGCGAGGCCAACGCAAGGAAUGGGAGCAUCACACCAGACCAUCCAGUGAGGUGAGGACCUUGACUGGGAAUUCCUCUCAUCUAUGCUUGGCAGAGUGGCCCAAGCUCCCAAUCUGUCAGGUGACUGGAACCUUGGAGCUCUAAGGAAGCAGCAGCCCUCAGAGAAGACUCUCUUCCACAAAACUGGUCACCCAGAAGCUGUGGGUUCACUAGUUGAUUCAUUCAUUCAUUCAACAAACACUUCUGGAGCACCUCCUUCUAUUCCAGGCUGCACUGGUUCUCAGCACACAGGGUUCUCCAGUGAAGGGUAACCUGGCCCUGCCUGCAAGGAGUUUACACCUGCUUUUCCCUACUGCUUCUAACAUAUUGGCAUCAUCCCCCACCUGGGCACAGAGCCUAGCAUCCUAGCAGGAGCACACUCAAAAUCUGUUGUUUACUGAUUGACUUGUGGUAAGGAAACAGCUUAUAAAACACAUUAUUAAAAUAAAU
Molecule: long non-coding RNA, 923 nt
Filed under: Homo sapiens (human)
Lineage: Eukaryota; Metazoa; Chordata; Mammalia; Primates; Hominidae
Description: HSALNT0094379
Source: RNAcentral